This 300-nucleotide ribosomal RNA is filed under the name uncultured bacterium. Its description in RNAcentral is "bacterial SSU rRNA". It matches the Rfam family "Bacterial small subunit ribosomal RNA", at positions 114 to 430 of the family's 1533-position model. The record is from RNAcentral.
CGCGUAAGAACCUACCUUUAGGCGAGGAAUAACCAGUGGAAACGGUGGCUAAUACCUCAUAAACUGUGGAGUAAAAGGCGAAAGCCGCCUGAAGACGGGCUUGCGUCUGAUUAGCUUGUUGGUAAUUUAAAAGAUUACCAAGGCAACGAUCAGUAGUUGGUCUAAGGGGAUGAUCAACCACACUGGGACUGAGACACGGCCCAGACCUCUACGGAGGGCAGCAGUGAGGAAUUUUCCGCAAUGGGCGAAAGCCUGACGGAGCAAUACCGCGUGGAGGAUGAAGGCUUGUGAGUCGUAAAC